GAUGAACGCUGGCGGCGUGCCUAAUACAUGCAAGUCGAGCGGUAAGGCUCCUACUCUGUACUCUAGAGAUCUAGAGUGUAGGGUUGGAGUACACGAGCGGCGGACGGCUGAGUAACGCGUAGGAACAUACCCCAAAGUGAGGGAUAAGCACCAGAAAUGGUGUCUAAUACCGCAUGUGAUCUUCGGAUUAAAGCUUUAUGCGCUUUGGGAAUGGCCUGCGUCUGAUUAGCUUGUUGGUGAGGUAAAAGCUCACCAAGGCGAUGAUCGGUAGCUGGUCUGAGAGGAUGAUCAGCCAGACUGGGACUGAGACACGGCCCAGACUCCUACGGGAGGCAGCAGUAGGGAAUUUUCCACAAUGGGCGAAAGCCUGAUGGAGCAACGCCGCGUGCAGGAUGAAGGCCUUCGGGUUGUAAACUGCUUUUAUUGGUGAAGACUUCCGACAGUAACCAAUGAAUAAGGAUCGGCUAACUACGUG
RNAcentral lists this ribosomal RNA (475 nucleotides) under uncultured organism. RNAcentral's name for it is "bacterial SSU rRNA". It matches the Rfam family "Bacterial small subunit ribosomal RNA", at positions 28 to 507 of the family's 1533-position model. The record is from RNAcentral.